Molecule: long non-coding RNA, 226 nt
Filed under: Linum usitatissimum (flax)
Lineage: Eukaryota; Viridiplantae; Streptophyta; Magnoliopsida; Malpighiales; Linaceae
Description: long non-coding RNA (LUSI_LNC000377)
Source: RNAcentral
CAACAAUAAAGUCAAAACUGAAAGGAAUUCAUUACUAUCCCCGCAAAAAUCAAACGUGUCAUUUCAAACCCCCAAUCAAUCGCAGGAAUUACCGUGAUCCUGUCGAAGAAAGACGUGCCUCCUCCUCCUCCUCCGGAAGAAGAUGUAGCCUGGUGUCUACUCAUAGUUUUAUCUCUACUCACUCAGUCCCUCGGAUGAUGGUGGUUGUGGUGGUGGUCUUAGUAGC